AGCAGCCGCGGUAAUUCCAGCUCCAAUAGCGUAUAUUAAAGUUGCUGCAGUUAAAAAGCUCGUAGUUGAAUUUCGGGACCAUCAUGUCGGUCGUGCCUAGGUACGUACUGGCAUUGUUGGUUUCUCCCUUCUGACGAACCACGAUGUCACUUAUUUGGUGUUGUGGGGAAUCAGGACUGUUACUUUGAAAAAAUUAGAGUGUUUAAAGCAGGCUCACGCUUGAAUACAUUAGCAUGGAAUAAUGAAAUAGGACGUUUGAUUCUAUUUUGUUGGUUUCUAGGAUCGACGUAAUGAUUAAUAGGGAUAGUUGGGGGCAUUAGUAUUCAAUUGUCAGAGGUGAAAUUCUUGGAUUUAUUGAAGACUAACUACUGCGAAAGCAUUUGCCAAGGAUGUUUUCAUUAAUCAAGAACGAAAGUUAGGGGAUCGAAGACGAUCAGAUACCGUCGUAGUCUUAACCAUAAACUAUGCCGACUAGGGAUCGGAUGAUGUUAAUUUUUUAAUGACUCA
RNAcentral lists this ribosomal RNA (507 nucleotides) under uncultured Glomeromycotina. Its description in RNAcentral is "SSU rRNA". It matches the Rfam family "Eukaryotic small subunit ribosomal RNA", at positions 569 to 1078 of the family's 1831-position model. The record is from RNAcentral. Lineage: Eukaryota; Fungi; Glomeromycota.